This 253-nucleotide ribosomal RNA is filed under the name uncultured bacterium. RNAcentral describes it as "partial 16S ribosomal RNA". It matches the Rfam family "Bacterial small subunit ribosomal RNA", at positions 524 to 776 of the family's 1533-position model. The record is from RNAcentral.
UACGUAGGGUGCGAGCGUUAAUCGGAAUUACUGGGCGUAAAGCGUGCGCAGGCGGUUUUGUAAGCCAGGUGUGAAAUCCCCGGGCUCAACCUGGGAAUGGCAUUUGGGACUGCAAGGCUUGAGUGCGGCAGAGGAGACUGGAAUUCCUGGUGUAGCAGUGAAAUGCGUAGAUAUCAGGAGGAAUGCCGAUGGCGAAGGCAGGUCUCUGGGCUGACACUGACGCUCAUGCACGAAAGCGUGGGGAGCAAACAGG